This 119-nucleotide ribosomal RNA is filed under the name Carassius auratus (goldfish). The record is from RNAcentral. Lineage: Eukaryota; Metazoa; Chordata; Actinopteri; Cypriniformes; Cyprinidae.
GCUUACGGCCAUACCAACCUGGCUAUGCCCGAUCUCGUCUGAUUCGGAAGCUAAGCAGGUUUGGGCCUGGUUAGUACUUGGAUUGGGAGACCGCCUGGGAAUACCAGGUGCUGUAAGCU